RNAcentral lists this ribosomal RNA (306 nucleotides) under Candidatus Peribacteria bacterium RIFCSPHIGHO2_01_FULL_54_22. RNAcentral's name for it is "bacterial LSU rRNA". It matches the Rfam family "Bacterial large subunit ribosomal RNA", at positions 2599 to 2915 of the family's 2925-position model. Lineage: Bacteria; Candidatus Peregrinibacteriota; Candidatus Peribacteria. The record is from RNAcentral.
CGCGAGCUGGGUUCAAAACGUCGUGAGACAGUUUGGCCUCUAUCCUCCGUGGUCGCAAAGGAACGUGAGGGAAGUUGCUCCUAGUACGAGAGGACCGGAGUGAACGAACCUCUGGUGUACCUGUUGUCGCGUCAGCGGCAUUGCAGGGUAGCUAUGUUCGGAAGGGAUAACCGCUGAAAGCAUCUAAGUGGGAAGCCCCUCCCAAGAUGACGUUCCUCUAUAAGCCCGCCGCAAGACCAGCGGCUAGAUCGGCCACAGGUGUACGCCCCGCAAGGGGUUCAGCCGAGUGGUACGAACGGGCGAUUG